CCCUUUUGCCCUGUUCGAUUCUUUUCAGAGAAACCGAAGCCGCUUCAUCGAAGAGAAGUACGAGAGAGAGAGGCCUUAGAGAUCAUAGUCGUCUUCUCUAAUUCUCAGACAUGGGUACUUUCAAGCCAUCUUUCAUCCUCUGUCCAACGUUCGUCUGAGAGAUUUUCGAUCUGCAAGUUCUUCCAUCGUUUCUCUUCAGCUGUUGAAAGUUUUGAUCAUGAGGACAAGGGUGAUUUUGCAACUUCACUAAAGCAUUUUAGGAAAACCCUGAAGUCGUGUAAACCAGAAAUGAAUUAACAAAUAUGAAGCAGGACCUACUCCCUCCCAUCCCAGGAAUAAUUGAAGAGAGCUAUCUCCAGUCACCAACAUUGACAUAAAAAGAAAGCGGAUCGAACUUUAUCUUCUAUAAGGGGAUUGGACUUUGAAUGCUAAUUUGUCUAUAUAUAAACCUUCCCCUGCUAUUAUAUUAUGUAUGAAAAUGCCUAGACUUAUGAACGUUGAUAUAUACAAAUGAUAAGUUUCCACUUUCCAUGUGGAAAUCUAAAUAAUGCCAUCCCCAUCCCUUCAACACCACACAAUUGACAGCAAUCAAACUUUGACCUCCUAAUAAUAAUUGAACAAACUACUUCUGUCUUUCUUUUCAAAAACUACUUCCGUCCCUGCACUGCACAAUCAAAAAAAAUUCUGAUCAAAUAGGAGAGAGAGAAUUAAGAUGAAGGUUGAGGUUGAAGUGAUCUCCAAGGAGAUUAUCAAGCCAUCAUCUCCAACCCCUGACCAUCUUCGCUAUUUGCAGCUCUCUUUUCUUGAUCAACUAGCUCCCCCAGUCUAUAACCCUUUUGUCCUCUUUUAUGAAUUCAAUGGCGAGGUAACAGACAGGAUACUUGGAAUUGAUGGAAAAUUAUUGGAAUUGACGGAAUGUUAUCGGAAUUGAUGGAAAAUUAAAGGAAUUGACGGAAUAUGGAUAGGGGUACAUCCAGGUGAAAUUUUUUGGGAAAUGACAAUUUACAAGGGAAACUCUGCCGAAUUUUCAGCAGAAAUCAAAUUAGAAAAAGAACUUUGAGUUUUAAUUAGAAGGGCAAUUUGGUCAAAUGUGCUCAGCACCUGCUAGAUGUCGAACACUCACAAGGUUCAGCUCGGAUUCCAAAGUAGAAUUUGGGUUGGGUCCUGUCCUAAAUUGUCAGUCCUCUCCGAAACAGAUUGAUACUAUCCGACAAAAAUUAGUUAGUAUAGUACAAUGUAUCAAAAAAGCCUAAAUUAAUGAUUUUGGUUGGGGGAUUGACCUACAAGGACCUUGUAGUUUUCAUGGACACCGAAGAGGGUGAUGGAACAAUACAAGCGUGUAUUAGAGCAUCUACAAUGGUGAGGGUCAUUUCAAUUUUAUUUCAAUAAAUUGAACUUUUGACUUGCA
Long non-coding RNA from Prunus persica (peach), 1408 nucleotides. RefSeq lists it as uncharacterized. The transcript is spliced from 5 exons. The record is from RefSeq and is a predicted model, not a curated record. NCBI's taxonomy places the organism in Eukaryota, Viridiplantae, Streptophyta, Magnoliopsida, Rosales, Rosaceae.